GUGUGUGGCCAAACCUCUUCAUCAAAGUCUCAGAAGCUAAGUAAGGUUGAACCUGGUUAGUCCUUGGAUGGGAGACCACAGGGAACGCCAGGUGCCACAGGGG
RNAcentral lists this ribosomal RNA (103 nucleotides) under Periophthalmus magnuspinnatus. The record is from RNAcentral. Lineage: Eukaryota; Metazoa; Chordata; Actinopteri; Gobiiformes; Gobiidae.